UUGAACGCUGGCGGCAUGCCUUACACAUGCAAGUCGAACGGCAUCGCGGGAAAGCUUGCUUUCCUGGCGGCGAGUGGCGAACGGGUGAGUAACACAUCGGAACGUACCGGCUAGUGGGGGAUAACCCGUCGAAAGACGGGCUAAUACCGCAUACGCUCUUCGGAGGAAAGCAGGGGACCUUUGGGCCUUGCGCUAGUCGAGCGGCCGAUGUCCGAUUAGCUAGUUGGUGGGGUAAAGGCCUACCAAGGCGACGAUCGGUAGCGGGUCUGAGAGGACGAUCCGCCACACUGGGACUGAGACACGGCCCAGACUCCUACGGGAGGCAGCAGUGGGGAAUCUUGGACAAUGGGGGCAACCCUGAUCCAGCAAUGCCGCGUGGGUGAAGAAGGCCUUCGGGUUGUAAAGCCCUUUCGGCAGGGAAGAAAUCGGCGGGGCGAAUAACCCUGCUGGAUGACGGUACCUGCAGAAGAAGCACCGGCUAACUACGUG
Molecule: ribosomal RNA, 489 nt
Filed under: uncultured bacterium
Lineage: Bacteria
Description: partial 16S ribosomal RNA
Rfam family: Bacterial small subunit ribosomal RNA
Source: RNAcentral